AACGAACGCUGGCGGCAGGCCUAACACAUGCAAGUCGAGCGCCCAGCAAUGGGAGCGGCGGACGGGUGAGUAACGCGUGGGAAUUUUUCCUGGAGUACGGAACAACCGAGGGAAACUUCGGCUAAUACCGUAUGAUGUCUAGCGACCAAAGAUUUAUCGCUCUGGGGUAAGCCCGCGUCAGAUUAGGUAGUUGGUGGGGUAACGGCCUACCAAGCCUGCGAUCUGUAGCUGGUCUGAGAGGAUGAUCAGCCACAUUGGGACUGAGACACGGCCCAAACUCCUACGGGAGGCAGCAGUGGGGAAUAUUGGACAAUGGGCGAAAGCCUGAUCCAGCCAUGCCGCGUGAGUGAUGAAGGCCUUAGGGUUGUAAAGCUCUUUUACCCGGGAAGAUAAUGACGGUACCGGGAGAAUAAGCCCCGGCUAACUUCGUGCCAGCAGCCGCAGUAAG
RNAcentral lists this ribosomal RNA (448 nucleotides) under uncultured bacterium. RNAcentral describes it as "bacterial SSU rRNA". It matches the Rfam family "Bacterial small subunit ribosomal RNA", at positions 29 to 524 of the family's 1533-position model. The record is from RNAcentral.